Molecule: ribosomal RNA, 492 nt
Filed under: uncultured bacterium
Lineage: Bacteria
Description: partial 16S ribosomal RNA
Rfam family: Bacterial small subunit ribosomal RNA
Source: RNAcentral
AGUGAACGCUGGCGGUAGGCCUAACACAUGCAAGUCGAACGGCAGCACAGUAAGAGCUUGCUCUUACGGGUGGCGAGUGGCGGACGGGUGAGGAAUACAUCGGAAUCUACUUUUUCGUGGGGGAUAACGUAGGGAAACUUACGCUAAUACCGCAUACGACCUACGGGUGAAAGCAGGGGAUCUUCGGACCUUGCGCGAUUGAAUGAGCCGAUGUCGGAUUAGAUAGUUGGCGGGGUAAAGGACCACCAAGGCGACGAUCCGUAGCUGGUCUGAGAGGAUGAUCAGCCACACUGGAACUGAGACACGGUCCAGACUCCUACGGGAGGCAGCAGUGGGGAAUAUUGGACAAUGGGCGCAAGCCUGAUCCAGCCAUGCCGCGUGGGUGAAGAAGGCCUUCGGGUUGUAAAGCCCUGUUGUUGGGAAAGAAAAGCAGCAGGUUAAUACCCCGCUGUUCUGACGGUACCCAAAGAAUAAGCACCGGCUAACUUCGUG